Molecule: ribosomal RNA, 549 nt
Filed under: uncultured archaeon
Lineage: Archaea
Description: bacterial SSU rRNA
Rfam family: Archaeal small subunit ribosomal RNA
Source: RNAcentral
GGGUGCAGCAGGCGCGAAACCUUAGCAAUGUGCGAAAGCACGACUGGGUCAGUCCGAGUGAUUCCUGCUAAAGGAAUCUUUUGCUUGUCCUAAAAGCACAGGUGAAUAAGGGGUGGGCAAGUCUGGUGUCAGCCGCCGCGGUAAUACCAGCACCUCGAGUGGUCAGGACGUUUAUUGGGCCUAAAGCAUCCGUAGCCGGCUCUGCAAGUCUUCGGUUAAAUCCACCUGCUCAACAGAUGGGCCGCUGGAGAUACUACAGAGCUAGGGAGUGGGAGAGGCGGACGGUAUUCAGUGGGUAGGGGUAAAAUCCUCUGAUCCAUCGAGGACCACCAGUGGCGAAGGCGGUCUGCCAGAACACGUUCGACGGUGAGGGAUGAAAGCUGGGGGAGCAAACCGGAUUAGAUACCCGGGUAGUCCCAGCUGUAAACGAUGCAAACUCGGUGAUGCGUUGGUUUAUGGCCAAUGCAGUGCCGCAGGGAAGCCGUUAAGUUUGCCGCCUGGGAAGUACGGACGCAAGUCUGAAACUUAAAGGAAUUGGCGGGGGAGCAC